This 87-nucleotide microRNA precursor is filed under the name Branchiostoma floridae (Florida lancelet). RNAcentral describes it as "mir-2060 microRNA precursor family". It matches the Rfam family "mir-2060 microRNA precursor family". Lineage: Eukaryota; Metazoa; Chordata; Leptocardii; Amphioxiformes; Branchiostomatidae. The record is from Rfam by way of RNAcentral.
GUAUUGUGAAUGGUGUUCAGCACCAAGGACAGAUGUGUUUGCCGUAUUGUGAAUGGUGUUCAGCACCAAGGACAGAUGUGUUUACCA